This 281-nucleotide unclassified non-coding RNA is filed under the name Hevea brasiliensis (rubber tree). The record is from RNAcentral. Lineage: Eukaryota; Viridiplantae; Streptophyta; Magnoliopsida; Malpighiales; Euphorbiaceae.
AUAGAUAGAAAAUGCAGCUAUGGGACUGUUAGAAAAAGAUUGUAAGAUUAUAUCCUUCAUAUAAGGUAGCUGGGCUGUUCUUGGUUUUGAUCAUAGAUAGAAAGAUCUGUGAGCCUCAAUUGCUAUGCAGUUUCUGCAUAGAAACUAGAGUGAACCAGUAAUUGCUGGAUGAUUUUAUUGAGAUAACAGAAGCUGCUAAAUAUUUAAAUCAGUUUUUUUGCAUAAAUUCAGUAUAGAAAAUUAUUAUUUUUCUUUAUUCGUAGUGAGAUUAAGAAGCACGA